Misgurnus anguillicaudatus (oriental weatherfish) is the source of this 1140-nucleotide non-coding RNA. The record is from RefSeq and is a predicted model, not a curated record. NCBI's taxonomy places the organism in Eukaryota, Metazoa, Chordata, Actinopteri, Cypriniformes, Cobitidae.
GCCGCCAAUUCCCGCCCACAACGUCGAAUGUGUCGUAGGUCGUAACAGUCGAAUGAGCAGCAAUGAUUUGGUCACGUGUUUUAGAAGUUUGAAUUCACAAACGGAUGUGAGAUGCGUCUCCUCGACUGUGGAGCAUAUGCGGGAAAUAUAAUCACGAAAGGCAAGAAAUGAUGGCACAGCUACAGAGUAUUGAGCAAAUAGAUGUAAAUGUUAAAAAUAUUUUAUAUUUAGCGGAAAAAGGACAAGGAGCAAGUUAUUUUUUUGACUAUCUAAAAGAAACUGGACUGAACAAGAGAAUUUAGGAGGAGACAAAUAUGAACAGAAGAUGGCAGUAGUGCAACAAACCGGAUGCAAGCUGCCGCUAAACACCAAAGAAGAAGAAGAAGAAGAAGAUCAGUCUCCGACCUCAACGGGUUUGCGCGGGUAACUUAUCUUCGAUUCACUGCUUUAGUGCUUUGGUGAGCCAUCCUCGGAUAUCAUGGAGCUGCAUUUGCAUUUUGGAAUAAAGAAUAUGUUUUCUCCUGCGUUUCGAACGAAGGGUGGGCGCGUCAUCGGUGCGACAUCUCCCGGGUUUCUCCAUGUACAACGUGUGAUGGUGAUUUUCUCGUGGACGUUACUCUGGACAGAGUGAGAGAGAAGACAUUGCCCAGCCCCGUUGAUCCACUGAUGAUGAUGUUGGUCUGUUUACAGGUUAUGUGGAAAAGCCUGUGCUUGGUGGAGAUCUACUGCAGAUGACCACAGCAUCCCAGUUCCCAAGAGGGGACUGUUUUAGUCAUUUUCUACUGGGCAAACUGAAUUACUCCAGAUUAUAGAAAAACCUGUGCUUGUGGAUCUACAUCGGAUGACCAUGGCAACCCAGGUGUGGAAAUAUUAGACUGUUUUUAAUCUGAAAUCUGUGUAAUCUAAGAUGGACAAUUCUUCUGACACCAUAUGAAUGCAUACUGUCAUCUGGCAGAAGCUAGAUCAUUUAGAUUAUAAAGUUAUAUGUUUUUACACAUGCAUCUCUUUGCUUCAGAAGGCCUUUAUUAAAGGACUAGUUCACCUCAAAAUGAACAUUUCCUGAUCAUUAAAGGAAUAGUCUACUCAUUUUCAAUAUUAAACUAUGUUAUUACCUUAACUAAGAAUUGUUGAUACAUCCCU